AUGUGGCAUACCUCAAAAGCAAGCAUUAGUAUUUAUGUAUUUUCUCAAUUUUUUUUUUGCCACUUCUCCCUGAAUUCUACUUAAAAAUAACCACCAACAAAAUAAAUAAAUAAACUAGUUGUCUGUUUUAUUAGGGACUCCAAGAGUCGCUUCCUUCGUAAAUUUACAAUAACUGAAACAGAAACAUUCCCUCCCAAAAACCUACCGCUUCUUCUCCUCUUUUUCCCUUUUCUCCUUCUCCAUUUGAGGGUUCCAUCCAAUUUUCCUUUCCAGCUCUAUGUUCCAAUUAUGUUUCCACACAUGAUUCUUUGGAUUUCAGGUAUAACGUGGGCUUCCUUUGUAAAUUGUUGCUCAAUCCAAGUUCAUUGUUUUACCGUUGGGCUUUGAACGGUGCACUCUACGUCACAUCUCCGUUCUCUCCUCAACAAUGAGCAAACUACUCUCACACAUUUGUUCUCACUAAUUUCAUUGGAUCUUUUAAGAUUUGAUAAAUUACUUUGGUGAAACGCUUCACUUAUAUGUUAUUCUCAGGUUGAAUAAUUCGCUAUUUAAUUUCCUUUUGUAUUCUAAUAAUUUAUAACUUUGUAGUAGAGACGUGGAGGAGUGUAGAAUGAGGGCCUACAAAGGUCACUCUUGAAACUUUCAACGAUUUAUUUAUACUUGAGGUACUAUAUUCUUCUAUUAGAAUUUGUUUUCGUAGUCAUAUAGUUGGGUUUUGGGUAAUGAGGGAAAAAUUAAAAUUGGUACUUUAAAAGUAGAUAUAUUACCAGCAUGUCCCAUAAACUUGUUGUUGUUUCAUAAAGCUUGAUCAGAGAGGGCCUACGAUGUGGCCAAGGGCUGAACAAAGGUCUGUAAUGCUCACUCUUGAAACUCCAUUGGUUCAUUUAAACUUGAGGUAUAUAUUCUUCUGAUUUUUGUUUUAGUUAUUUUGCAUUUUGCUUUUCUGGUAACGAGGGAAAAAAUGAUAUUCGUACUUUUAGAGUAGAUGUAUCACAAGUGUGUGCCAAUAACUUGCCAUGAUUCCAUAGAGCUUGCUUCGAGAAGGAAUUAUGAUAUUGUCAGUCAUCAAGAUUUUGUUUCCCUUAUCCAUUUUUGUUGUUAAUUUUAGCUGACUUGGGAUCUUAAUUUAUACUUUUUCCUUAUUUGAUUUGGCUUUAGGAUUUUAUUGUUCACGUUGGAGGUCGAACUUGUACAGGAAAAGCCGGAGAAUCCAUUUAUGGUCUUCAAUGAAAGACAUGGGAGCUACCGGGAACAAGUAGUUGCUAAAGAUAUUAACUUCAUAAAACUAUUUUGAUGUCUAUUUUUGAGGUAUUUUGUUGGAGGACUACAACCAUAUAUUUUAUGCACUGUGGGUUCACUUGACUAUUGGUCUCUCUUCCUCAAUAUGUUUGGUGUAAGCUGACAAAUGCCACAAGAUAUCAAGAAACUUUAGUUAUGUUGAGUAAGACAGAAGGUGAACUGCAGAGGCAAACUGAUCUGGAACACUAUCCCAUGUGCAUCAUGUGAAGUACAAGACUUGAAAGAAACAUGAAGUUCUUUUGAAGAGAAAGUUGAGCGCAUUUCUUUUGUUAAGUUUAAAUGCUUACAAAAGUUGUACUUCUAGUGCUCAGGAAACACACUAGAUAGUAUGAUGGAGUUUUUGGAUUGUUUUGGACUCUUUUGAGUCAAUAGCUGUAAAUUCUGUUACUUUUGUGCUGUAAUGUAUACCAUCUCUUGGUACUGACAAUAAUAUUUCCAUUAUUUUUUUUAAAAAAAGUA
This is an RNA transcript of Lycium barbarum (goji berry), 1758 nucleotides long. RefSeq lists it as uncharacterized. NCBI's taxonomy places the organism in Eukaryota, Viridiplantae, Streptophyta, Magnoliopsida, Solanales, Solanaceae. The transcript has 4 exons. The record is from RefSeq and is a predicted model, not a curated record.